CCUUCGAUAGCUCAGUUGGUAGAGCGGUGGACUGUAGAGAAAAUUCGGAGGGUUGCUUUCAAGUCGAAAUGCACUUGAUCAAACCAAACCUCCAAGAGUUGUAAAAGAAAUCCAUAGGUCACUGGUUCAAAUCCGGUUCGAAGGA
RNAcentral lists this transfer RNA (145 nucleotides) under Anopheles quadriannulatus. Its description in RNAcentral is "tRNA tRNA-Tyr". It matches the Rfam family "tRNA". From Rfam's summary of the family: Transfer RNA (tRNA) molecules are approximately 80 nucleotides in length. Their secondary structure includes four short double-helical elements and three loops (D, anti-codon, and T loops). Further hydrogen bonds mediate the characteristic L-shaped molecular structure. tRNAs have two regions of fundamental functional importance: the anti-codon, which is responsible for specific mRNA codon recognition, and the 3' end, to which the tRNAs corresponding amino acid is attached (by aminoacyl-tRNA synthetases). tRNAs cope with the degeneracy of the genetic code in two manners: having more than one tRNA (with a specific anti-codon) for a particular amino acid; and 'wobble' base-pairing, i.e. permitting non-standard base-pairing at the 3rd anti-codon position. The record is from RNAcentral. Lineage: Eukaryota; Metazoa; Arthropoda; Insecta; Diptera; Culicidae.